GAAGUGACAUACUUUAAGAAUACCAGAUUAAUCUGUUCUGAUUUUUUUAAUUCGCAGCUGGGAUAAAAAAAAGAGCCUUUUGAAGAGUCUUCAAAUCAACAGUAAUUUCAGAUUUUCACAACACGAAGAGGCAGAGCGCAAAGUGAAUUUGACACUUUGAAAAAUGCUACACAAGAACACUGAAGGCGUGAUAAGGACCUUUGUGAUCAUCGAUGCUAUUUCCAAUGGUGAAAGGGAGGCUCCGAAAAGUCAAGCGGCUCGUCCCAGGCCAUGUGGCGGGCUAAGGGCAGAGCCAGGGCUGCCGACCAUGUCUCCUGUCUCAGAGUCCCAGGAUCUUUCUCCUGGGAAGAUGUACGAUGUAUUUCCUCAGCACAAUGCUAGGUAUUAUUUCAGUUUUACUACUGUGCAAAGAUGCAAAAUUCCAAAGCUGCUACUGAAGAUUUCAGCCCUUCCAGCCCUUAGGUAGUUCUAUGCUGAGUCCUAAAAUGCUGGCUAUUGAACUCUUCAGAAUGGUGCCAUUGUUGGCAGAUCUCAAAUCCACACUAUUCUUCACCUGAUUCCCUGCCAAGUCCAUAAAGGUGUUUAUAUUUUUUAAAAACCCUGCAAUAAAAGUUUGAUUUCCUCAAGAGCAAUGUAUUUUCAGAAACCCAGAAGCUUUUUGUGAACAGCUCUUAUAAAGAAUCAGAAUAAGGUCGUCGUGUUUUACAGCAGCCUUAAG
RNAcentral lists this long non-coding RNA (718 nucleotides) under Rhinopithecus bieti (black snub-nosed monkey). Its description in RNAcentral is "lncRNA (ENSRBIG00000045156.1)". Lineage: Eukaryota; Metazoa; Chordata; Mammalia; Primates; Cercopithecidae. The record is from RNAcentral.